ACUGCAGUCUGCAACUCGACUGCACGAAGCUGGAAUCGCUAGUAAUCGCGGAUCAGCACGCCGCGGUGAAUACGUUCCCGGGCCUUGUACACACCGCCCGUCACACCAUGGAAGUCGGGAGUGCCUGAAGUGCGUGAGCGCAAGCAGCGCCCUAAGGUAAAACCGGUGACUGGGGCUAAGUCGUAACAAGGUAGC
RNAcentral lists this ribosomal RNA (195 nucleotides) under uncultured bacterium. Its description in RNAcentral is "partial 16S ribosomal RNA". It matches the Rfam family "Bacterial small subunit ribosomal RNA", at positions 1297 to 1500 of the family's 1533-position model. The record is from RNAcentral.